Molecule: ribosomal RNA, 253 nt
Filed under: uncultured bacterium
Lineage: Bacteria
Description: partial 16S ribosomal RNA
Rfam family: Bacterial small subunit ribosomal RNA
Source: RNAcentral
GACGAACCGUGCGAACGUUGUUCGGAAUCACUGGGCUUAAAGGGCGCGUAGGCGGUUUCGCAAGUCCGGGGUGAAAGCCCCCAGCUCAACUGGGGAAGUGCCUUGGAUACUGCGGAACUCGAGCGAGAUAGGGGUCGUGGGAACUUCCGGUGGAGCGGUGAAAUGCGUUGAUAUCGGAAGGAACGCCGGUGGCGAAAGCGCACGACUGGAUCUCUUCUGACGCUGAGGCGCGAAAGCCAGGGGAGCAAACGGG